CCUACGGGAGGCUGUAGUGGGGGAUAUUGCACAAUGGGGGGAACCCUGAUGCAGCGACGCCGCGUGGGUGAAGGAGUGCUUCGGCAUGUAAAGCCCUAUCGGCAGGGAAGAAGCAAGACGGUACCUGACUAAGAAGCCCCGGCUAACUACGUGCCAGUAGGCACGGUAAUACGUAGGGGGCGAGCGUUAUCCGGGUGCACGGGGUGUAAAGGGAGCGUAGACGGCCAUGCAAGCCAGGGGUGAAAGCCCGGGGCCCAACCCCGGGACCGCCCUUGGAACUGGACGGCUGGAGUGGGAGAGGGGCAGGCGGAAUUCGUGGUGUAGCGGGGAAAUGCGUAGAUAUCGGGAGGAACGCCGGCGGCGAAGGCGGCCUGCUGGACCGCGACUGACGUUGAGGCACGAAAGCGUGGGGAGCGAACAGGAUUAGAUACCCUUGUAGUC
RNAcentral lists this ribosomal RNA (441 nucleotides) under uncultured bacterium. RNAcentral's name for it is "partial 16S ribosomal RNA". It matches the Rfam family "Bacterial small subunit ribosomal RNA", at positions 338 to 795 of the family's 1533-position model. The record is from RNAcentral.